Molecule: transfer RNA, 70 nt
Filed under: Rhodoprasina callantha
Lineage: Eukaryota; Metazoa; Arthropoda; Insecta; Lepidoptera; Sphingidae
Description: tRNA-Gln
Source: RNAcentral
UAUAUUUUAGUGUAAGAUGCACAAUAGAUUUUGAUUCUAUUAGAUAUAAGUUUGAUUCUAUAAAAUAUAA